UGUGGCUAUAAAGCUUUUACCUUGGAGAUAAAAAAAGAGAAAAAUUAAAAGAAUAAGGACCCAGAAGAAGUUAAAAGAAGCAUAGACAAAUGAAGCGUUCAAGCUAUAUUUCCGAGGGGGAUGUGUUCCAGGAUUUGGAUUUUAGCAGUGCCCCACAUACCGAUAUCUACAGUAACUAGAAUUAUUACAGCUGAUUUUGCCUCAGGCUCGGUUCACCGGGGAGCAUAAACCUAGG
Long non-coding RNA from Hyla sarda, 235 nucleotides. RefSeq lists it as uncharacterized. The transcript is spliced from 3 exons. The record is from RefSeq and is a predicted model, not a curated record. NCBI's taxonomy places the organism in Eukaryota, Metazoa, Chordata, Amphibia, Anura, Hylidae.